Long non-coding RNA from Brassica oleracea var. oleracea, 820 nucleotides. RefSeq lists it as uncharacterized. The record is from RefSeq and is a predicted model, not a curated record. NCBI's taxonomy places the organism in Eukaryota, Viridiplantae, Streptophyta, Magnoliopsida, Brassicales, Brassicaceae. The transcript has 2 exons.
CAAUUUCAAACAUUUCCUAUGUUUUGUCUCUCACUCUCUUCAUAUGAAAAAAACUCUGUGCUGUUAGCAAAUCUCAAAAGGGUUUCUUGCUCCAGUGUAAAGGAUCCGAAUUUAUAUGUCUAAUUGUCUCAUUAUGGCAUAAUUUUAUCUCUUUUUGCAGUAACUUUUUGUUAUGAUGAUGAUGUGUUUGGAUUUGAUAUAACUAAUAAUGCUGCUGAUGAUGAUGAUGGGGUCUAGUUUCUUUAUGAUCAUGAUCUUUGCAGCUCUCAUCAUGCCAUUGUGAUUGUGAAGAAACGAUAAAGUGUUCGUUUUCCAGUUUAAAGUGCAGGAGAGAGUUUUGUUGGUGUGAUGGAUGAAACAAAUGAGAUCAUCCUGCAGAAAUCAAAGAGAUUGACAUCUGUUGUGUGGAACUACUUUGAACGGGUGAGAAAGGCUGAUGUCUGCUACACUGUUUGCAUUCAGUGCAACAAGAAACUCAGCGGUUCAAGCAACAGCGGGAUGACUCAUCUCCGGAACCAUCUCAUGCGUUGUCUCAAAAGAACCAACCACGACAGUGUGUAUAUGAGUACAUGUCUCUCUUGGAUUUUGAUAUGCUCCCAAUAAUAAAUUCAGUUGCAAUUUUUUUUUUGUUGGCUGGGUUCUUAGCUUACAAGUUUUGUAAAAACUACUUAUUGAUGCAUAAUUACGAGCAUGGACAGUCUCACAUAUACAAGACUGUUUCAGAAAUGCAUGUUAGUUGAAUCGUGGUGUUUCUUGUUUGUAACGAAAGUGUAUUCAUAAACUUGUAUAAAUAAAAGUGUAUUCACAAGAAGCUUUUGUU